CUCCAGACUCCUACGGGAGGCAGCAGUGGGGAAUAUUGCACAAUGGGGGAAACCCUGAUGCAGCGACGCCGCGUGAGCGAUGAAGUAUUUCGGUAUGUAAAGCUCUAUCAGCAGGGAAGAAGAUGACGGUACCUGACUAAGAAGCCCCGGCUAACUACGUGCCAGCAGCCGCGGUAAUACGUAGGGGGCAAGCGUUAUCCGGAUUUACUGGGUGUAAAGGGAGCGUAGACGGCGAUGCAAGCCAGAUGUGAAAGCCCGGGGCUCAACCCCGGGACUGCAUUUGGAACUGUGUGGCUGGAGUGUCGGAGAGGCAGGCGGAAUUCCUAGUGUAGCGGUGAAAUGCGUAGAUAUUAGGAGGAACACCAGUGGCGAAGGCGGCCUGCUGGACGAUGACUGACGUUGAGGCUCGAGAGCGUGGGGAGCAAACAGGAUUAGAUACCCGCGUAC
Molecule: ribosomal RNA, 447 nt
Filed under: uncultured bacterium
Lineage: Bacteria
Description: bacterial SSU rRNA
Rfam family: Bacterial small subunit ribosomal RNA
Source: RNAcentral